Hemicordylus capensis (graceful crag lizard) is the source of this 1125-nucleotide long non-coding RNA. RefSeq lists it as uncharacterized. The transcript has 2 exons. NCBI's taxonomy places the organism in Eukaryota, Metazoa, Chordata, Lepidosauria, Squamata, Cordylidae. The record is from RefSeq and is a predicted model, not a curated record.
CUUUUCUACAGAGACCCGCAUGCGCGCGCAGCCCAUGGGGGGAGGAGCAACACUACGAAUGAAUGGUCGCUGCGGAGAGGCGGGAGCUCGUGCUAGGCGAGGAGGAAAUGAUGAGAUGAGAAAGGAGGCGGCAGUGGCAAGAUAAAAGGAGGAAAGGGCAGAGUAUUGCAAGGGCAUUUUUUUUGUCUCUGUAGGAAGGAGGUAUCAUAAAGAGAGAUGUUAGUGCAGCAAUUGUAGGCUUUUUUUUCCUUAAAAAAGCGACUCUUGGUUGUACAAAGACUAAGCUGUGAUUGCAGGACCCUGUUCAGUCUUAUGUCCCACGAAGUUGCUUGAACAUGGAGGGAAAUAGAGUACAGAGUACCAAAGUUGUCAGAGCCCAAGUUGGUGCUGUGGGAGAACUGACAAGAGGCUGGCAGAACUGGUCAGAGGAUCAUGCUCAUUAUCAGAGACUGAAUCCAUUCAGCAAUGACAAGCCCAUAACUCCACAUAUUGAGAGAGGAGAUCCCACUUAUGGGAAGCCCCCUGAAGGCUCCAAAACAGAACAGAGAGGGAAAGAUGCUCAUAUAAACAUGAGCAAAGAAGUAGAAGAACUAUGUUUUGUCAUAAAGAGUAGUGGACAGAGGGGGCAAGAUGGGCAUGUGAGGAUUACAUUCAAACAGCUCUUUGACAGAUAUGUGACUAUAUCUAAUAAGGUAGUGGGUGUCCUCCUGAGAGCAAGGAAACAUGGCCUGGUUGAUUUUGAAGGUGAGAUGCUUUGGCAAGGAAAAGAUGAUCAUGUGGUUAUUACCUUACUUGACUAAGAUAACUGGAUAUUAUUGCAUGCUCUGAGAACACCUUAAAAGCCUUACUUGUCAACAGUGCUAAUUGGCCAGGACACCAAAGAAAAUGCUCUUGUGUGGAAACCUGUUAAACAAAUGUAAUACUUGACUGAGUGCAUGCUUCUGCUCAUGAGUUGUCCAGUGACUGAAUGAGUAAUUUCAUUCAUGAAUUCUAGCCUACUUCUAUGUUACGAAUAAGAUUUAAAAAAACUUGAUUUGAAGCAUGAAUGGGUGGAAUAAGAAGUGGCUAUAUGGUGUUGGAAAUGGAUAUUAAGUCAUUAAUAAAAGAUCGUUGAAAUUGAAAUAA